UACAGAGGGUGCGAGCGUUAAUCGGAAUUACUGGGCGUAAAGCGCACGUAGGUGGCGACGUAAGUCGGGUGUGAAAGCCCCGGGCUCAACCUGGGAAUUGCAUUCGAGACUGCAUUGCUGGAGUACGGAAGAGGAAGGCGGAAUUCCCGGUGUAGCGGUGAAAUGCGUAGAUAUCUGGAGGAACACCGGUGGCGAAGGCGGCAUCCUGGACCGGCAUUGACGCUGAGGAGCGAAAGCCAGGGGAGCAAACGGG
RNAcentral lists this ribosomal RNA (253 nucleotides) under uncultured bacterium. Its description in RNAcentral is "partial 16S ribosomal RNA". It matches the Rfam family "Bacterial small subunit ribosomal RNA", at positions 524 to 776 of the family's 1533-position model. The record is from RNAcentral.